Molecule: ribosomal RNA, 492 nt
Filed under: uncultured bacterium
Lineage: Bacteria
Description: partial 16S ribosomal RNA
Rfam family: Bacterial small subunit ribosomal RNA
Source: RNAcentral
AGUGAACGCUGGCGGUAGGCCUAACACAUGCAAGUCGAACGGCAGCACAGUAAGAGCUUGCUCUUACGGGUGGCGAGUGGCGGACGGGUGAGGAAUACAUCGGAAUCUACUUUUUCGUGGGGGUUAACGUAGGGAAACUUACGCUAAUACCGCAUACGACCUACGGGUGAAAGCAGGGGAUCUUCGGACCUUGCGCGAUUGAAUGAGCCGAUGUCGGAUUAGUUAGUUGGCGGGGUAAAGGCCCACCAAGGCGACGAUCCGUAGCUGGUCUGAGAGGAUGAUCAGCCACACUGGAACUGAGACACGGUCCAGACUCCUACGGGAGGCAGCAGUGGGGAAUAUUGGACAAUGGGCGCAAGCCUGAUCCAGCCAUACCGCGUGGGUGAAGAAGGCCUUCGGGUUGUAAAGCCCUUUUGUUGGGAAAGAAAAGCAGCAGGUUAAUACCCCGCUGUUCUGACGGUACCCAAAGAAUAAGCACCGGCUAACUUCGUG